UAAUAAGGAGCCUUACUAUGUCCAGCCACAAGGGAGCAAAAUUAAAAUAACACAACAGAUAAUAAAAAAAAAAAUUCUUUCAUAUUAAAAAAAAAAAUUUAAAAACAUAUGAAGUAAAUUGCAGAAAAAUCAGUGCCAAGAGCCCUUCAUUUCAUUUCAACUUCAAUGUUGCUGAUUAAAACCUUAUGCACAGAGGCUUGUUUGUUGUGGCUCUUUAUUUGUUCAUUUAGGAUCUCACCAAUUCAACCAUCCCUUUUGUUAUUCUUCAAGAGCUUCACCAUUGCUAUACUUAAACAACUUCUUUGACUUGCAAAACUUCAUAAGGAAAUACCAUCCAAUGGCUCCCACAGUCAUCAAGCCACUCACCAAAUAAACAAUCUUUGUAGCAAUUGCCAUUAUGAGCACUAAGAACGCAGAUGGUAUUAAGCACAUUAUCACCAAUCCUGGCAGCCUCAUUGGAAUCCUGUAAGGUCUCUUCAAUUCUGGCAAUUUCCUUCUCAACCAAAGAAAAGAUGCAAAUUCUAAUAACAUUCCUAAACUAUACAAGAAAUUAGCUGAUGAAAUUAUAUCAGUAAAAUUCAUGUAUGAUACCCCAAGUAUGAUCAAUGUUGAAAGAAGUAUCCCUACCCAAGGAGUAUUAAACCAUUUGGACCUUUUGGCAAAAAAAUUUGGCAGAAAUCCUAAAUCAGCCAUUCCAAGAAGCUGGAAAGCAGUACUGCUCAAUUGAGCCUCAAACAAACCUAUAGCAGAUAAUGUAGCACCAACUUCAAUCCAAUAUUUUAGCCAUCUCCCUGCAAUCAUCUCUGCUGCAGUGGCAUGAAAUCCUGAUUCCCAUUCACUUUGAUUAACAGAAACAGCACCGAUCACCGCGAAAAGUGGUAUGAAGUAAGACAAGCAAGUGAAGAUCACAGCAACAAAUAGAGCCAAUGGAAAUAUUUUCUGGGGUUUAUCUACUUCUCCAGCCAGAGUGCUGACAUUGUCCCAAAAAUUCAAGUUCCAAAAAAGGGUAUUGAAGAACAAAGUCCAAUCUUUCUUUACACCUUUCUGUCCUAAACUGAUCCAUCUAUGGGGAUGAAUCUUGGGGAUUGCUAAAAGGGACAUGAUUAUGAAAGGAGCAAGAGAAACUAUACCAAGCCCAACAGCAACAUAGCCAACUAUGGUUAAUCCAGUAUAAUUGAGAAAAGAUAGAAUUAUAGAGGAGACCAAAAUGGCAAUUUUUCGAGGCCAACCUGAGUUCAAUGCAGGGAGUACCCUCUUCAUAUAAUCAAUGCAAAGGACUGGAAAGGCAGCGAUGUUAAUGACAAUACUCAGGAAUUUCCAUGAACCCAUCAAGGAUCCAAAAAAAGGACCAAAUGCACGUUCGGCCCAUAUAACAAAUCCUCCAUUUCCAGGAUAGGCAGUGGCGAGCUCAGCUGUAAUCAAUGCCUCGGGAAUACUCCAUAUGAAAGGAAAUAUCAAGAAACCAAGAAGAGCAUAAAGAGGACCUGCAGCUUGGACAGCAGGCUCUUCACCAAAAGGGCCACCAGCGACUUCAAAAUAGAUUAUGAAUAUGAGAGGAAGGAGACUAAGUUUCUUUGUUAAUUUGGUGGUGGUGUUAGCGGUGGUGACAGGGAGUUCCUGAAGCACAUUUGACGAUUCUGCUGGGGUUUGCAUAGUGGGUUCUUGGCUUUGGGUAAGCCUAUCAAAUGUUGUGAUGCUGUGUGAUUGGAUUUCUGCUUGCAUAAUUGGAUUGAAAGAAAGAGAGUAUUGAAC
Molecule: unclassified non-coding RNA, 1752 nt
Filed under: Hevea brasiliensis (rubber tree)
Lineage: Eukaryota; Viridiplantae; Streptophyta; Magnoliopsida; Malpighiales; Euphorbiaceae
Source: RNAcentral